UAAUUCUGUGCCAGCAGCCGCGGUAAGACAGGAGAUGCAAGUGUUAUCCGGAAUGAUUGGGCGUAAAGGGUCUGUAGGUGGUUUGAAAAGUCUGUUGUUAAAUACUAGGGCUUAACCCUGGUCAGGCAAUAGAAACUAUUAGACUAGAGUACGGUAGAGGCAGAGGGAAUUUUCGGUGGAGUGGUGAAAUGCGUAGAUCUCGAAAAGAACACCAAUGGCGAAGGCACUCUGCUGGGCCGAUACUGACAUUGAGAGACGAAAGCUAGGGGAGCAAAAGGGAUUAGAUACCCCUGUAGUCCUAGCUGUAAACGAUGGAUACUAAGUGUUGGGUAAUAAUACUACUCAGUACUGUAGCUAACGCGUGAAGUAUCCCGCCUGGGGAGUAUGCUCGCAAGGGUGAAACUCAAAGGAAUUGACGGGGGCCCGCACAAGCGGUGGAGCAUGUGGUUUAAUCUGAUGCAACGCGAAGAACCUUACCAGAACUUGACAUCCCAUUUAGUAAGUCGAAAGACAUACUUUUCUCUUGUAGAAGAUGGUGACAGGUGGUGCAUGGCUGUCGUCAGCUCGUGUCGUGAGAUGUUGGGUUAAGUCCCGCAACGAGCGCAACCCUUGUUUUUAAUUGCAAUUUAUGUGGAAAUUAGAAAGACUGCCGGUGAUAAACCGGAGGAAGGUGAGGACGACGUCAAGUCGGCAUGCCCCUUAUGUUCUGGGCGACACACGUGCUACAAUGGCCGAGACAAUGGGAUGCUACUCGUGAGAUUAGGCAAAUCUCAAAAACUCGGUCUCAAUUCGGA
Molecule: ribosomal RNA, 794 nt
Filed under: Stichococcus sp. RCC1054
Lineage: Eukaryota; Viridiplantae; Chlorophyta; Trebouxiophyceae; Prasiolales; Stichococcaceae
Description: bacterial SSU rRNA
Rfam family: Bacterial small subunit ribosomal RNA
Source: RNAcentral